CCCCACACUCCUGCACCCCACACCCCAUCCCUCCCCAAACCCACAAAUGUAUUCAUGAAUUCGUUUCCGAAAGUUCUCCCUGUGCUCAAGCGGGUGCUGCUUGUAAUUGCUGGCGGCCAAAAUCUGUUCUGUUUUUUCUGGCUGAGCUCUGCCUGUUUCCAAGCUCACUUUAGAUAAGUGACAGCACAACAGAGGAGCCCCAGGGACUCAGGAGUGACUCCAAGCACCUGGGCAAGACAUCACUGACCAAAUGACAGAAUCACUGAGGUUGGAAAAGACCUCCAAGACCAUUGAGUCUGACCUUUGACCCAUCACCACCCUGUCAACUAGACCAGAGCUCUGAGAGCCACGUCCAGUCAUUAAAUGGCAAAAGUGGAGUUGAAAA
Molecule: long non-coding RNA, 385 nt
Organism: Chiroxiphia lanceolata (lance-tailed manakin)
Lineage: Eukaryota; Metazoa; Chordata; Aves; Passeriformes; Pipridae
Exons: 2
Source: RefSeq, a predicted model, not a curated record